GAUAAACGCUGGCGGCGCACAUAAGACAUGCAAGUCGAACGGACUUAACCAUUAGUUUACUAUUGGAGCGGUUAGUGGCGGACUGGUGAGUAACACGUAAGCAACCUGCCUGUUAGAGGGGAACAACAGUUAGAAAUGACUGCUAAUACCGCAUAUGCCUUAACUAUCGCAUGAUAGAAGAGGGAAAGGAGCAAUCCGCUGAAAGAUGGACUCGCGUCCGAUUAGCUAGUUGGUGGGGUAAAGGCCUACCAAGGCGACGAUCGGUAGCCGGACUGAGAGGUUGAACGGCCACAUUGGGACUGAGACACGGCCCAG
RNAcentral lists this ribosomal RNA (315 nucleotides) under uncultured bacterium. RNAcentral describes it as "bacterial SSU rRNA". It matches the Rfam family "Bacterial small subunit ribosomal RNA", at positions 28 to 334 of the family's 1533-position model. The record is from RNAcentral.